RNAcentral lists this long non-coding RNA (365 nucleotides) under Fragaria vesca (wild strawberry). RNAcentral's name for it is "long non-coding RNA (FVES_LNC002098)". Lineage: Eukaryota; Viridiplantae; Streptophyta; Magnoliopsida; Rosales; Rosaceae. The record is from RNAcentral.
UGAAUAGACGGAUUUGAGCUCCUACUUAAAGAUGAACCAUUGGCAUUCGUAACUGAGAGCCGUGGUGCAGAUUUUGCUCCGGUAGAAGCUGACAUUGGCUUUGACACUCUAGGGGUGGUAUUCUGCAGUAUCUUUGACACUCUAGGGGUAGUAUUCUGCGGUAUCUUUGACACUCUAGGGGUGGAAUUCUGUGGUGUUUUUGACACUCUAGAGGUAGAAUUCUGUGGUAACUUUGACACUCUAGGGGUGGAAUUCUGUGGUAACUUUGACACUCUAGGGGUUGGAUUCUGAGGUGUUUUAGUCAUUGGUGAAACUGAUUUCUUCUUGGCCUUUGCCACAGUCAUCCUCUCCUUGCUCACUGGAGU